This 1697-nucleotide long non-coding RNA is filed under the name Homo sapiens (human). Its description in RNAcentral is "non-protein coding LINC01838:6". The record is from RNAcentral. Lineage: Eukaryota; Metazoa; Chordata; Mammalia; Primates; Hominidae.
GUGCGCUUCACCUCGGAGUUCCCACUCCACUCCAAGGAUCCAACAGCGCACAAGCUGCUCUUCACGGGCAACUACCUCUGCAAGCUUCACCCCCGGCCCCGCCACGCCCCGCAGGGUUCCCUGUCUGGUCUGGAUCACCUCGCUCUCCCUGCGCCUCUCUCCUUGGCCUAGCUAGACAAGUGCUUCUCACGAUCCAGCGCGUUUACCGCUCGGUUUCGUCGCCGCUAAGGGGUGGUGGUGUCUGAUCCGUCAGGCUCUGCGCUUCUCUCUCGGAUCCAUCCUCAAUGUCCAGGCAGGACUCUCACAUGAAGCCGGUGCUGUCUGCUGUUCACUCUAAGAUGUCCAGCCACUCAGGACAGUUACGAUCUGUCAUCCAGGGCCCAAACCGACUCUCCUCUAUUGCUAUCUGAGACUCUUCCACCUGUAUGCCCAUCUUCAUAGACCGGCCCAUCACUGGUGCCUCAAGCAUUUUCACUAUCACAGCCAGUAAUCUGCAGACUCAACCUCAAGCCUACUUUGUACUUUGGUAUAAACUGCAUGGAUACCAAUCCCUUUUCACAGGUUUUCAUCUCCUGGUCUCCCAUAGGAUCCAGGAUGAGUAUCCUCCCAUUUGACCAGUUCCAUCCCAGUAUGGAGCAGAUAUCCCUUGUAAAGAACACAGUCUCCACCAGCCCACCUGCUUUUAUGGUCAACAGCCCUACCUGAAUUUCCAACAUUGCCUUUUGACCCAAGAAACACCUAUCACCUGAAAUCUAGGGUUCCAGACAGGCAUCAACAGGAAACCACUCUCUUCAAUGCCCUGUCUUUUCUGGCCCACCUACCACUGCUUCUGCAGUCACCUCCACUAUAGUAAGCAGACCCUCUUCAGACUUGGCAUCCAAGCCUGCCUUUUACUCUGAUGAAAUCAACAUGGAUACCAUGCCCAUUUCCCCAUCUGUUAUCUUCCUGUCUCUCCCUGCAAUGUUAACAGCUGUUUCCCUUUGAAGAACCUGGCAGCCCCCAGAAAUCCUUCCUACUUAACCUCUACUGCAGCCCUGGAACCCAAUGACAGCACCACUCAGGCAGCUUUUGGGAAUUUGACUCCCCCAUGUCCACCUUUGGCAUCUGCUAUGGUUUGAAUGUGUCAACCAAAUUUCGUGUAUUAAAAACUCAAUCCCCAAAUUCAUAUGUAAAUAUGUUUGAAGGUGGGGGCCUUUGGGAGGUAAUGAGGAUUAGAUAAAGUCAUCAGGGUGGACCCCUAUGAUGGGACUGGUAAAAGGAAGAGACACCUGAGCUGACAGGCUCUUGCUCUUGCCAUGUGAUGUGCUCCACCAUGUAACGACAUAGCAAGAAGGUCUUCACCAGAUGCCAGCACUGUGCUCUUGAUUUGCUAUCAGAGAGGAUAGUGCCAUACCUCUGGUUGGAGACAGAUGACUUCAAUACAAAGCUUAUGACCUCAGUCAGAGUGCCUGGGGUUCAACUGGGUGUAGCACAUCUGUUGCAGGUGCAAAUGUGUGUUUAAAAGUCCCUGUAUUCCUGUCUCCCAAUCAGAGCAGUAAGGGCUCACCUGGACAAAGAACAGGGCUAUAAUGGGUGGAGACCACACCAUACCUGUGUUUGUAUAUAUGUCUCUUUCUACAAUGAUUGAGAUAGUUCUGACCGGACCAUAUUUGUUGUAAUCAGAGGGUAUAACAGCAUAUAAUAUUAGGGAGCCACUC